ACCUGACUGCUAUCGGAUUGAUACUAAGCCAUGCGAGUCUUUGCAGUAAUGCAAGGCGGACUGCUCAGUAACACGUAGUCAACUUAACCUAUGGAUGGGUAUAACCUCGGGAAACUGAGAAUAAUUCCCAAUAGAUCAUUUAUCCUGGAACGGUUAGUGAUUGAAAUGAUUCGUCGCCAUAGGAUAGGACUGCGGCCUAUCAGCUUGUUGGUGAGGUAAAGGCCCACCAAGGCUAUUACAGGUACGGGCUCUGAGAGGAGAAGCCCGGAGAUGGGUACUGAGACACGGACCCAGGCCCUAUGGGGCGCAGCAGGCGAGAAAACUUUGCAAUGUGCGAAAGCACGACAAGGUUAAUCCGAGUGAUUUCUGCUAAAGGAAUCUUUUGCUAGUUCUAAAAAUACUAGUGAAUAAGGGGUGGGCAAGUUCUGGUGUCAGCCGCCGCGGUAAAACCAGCACCUCAAGUGGUCAGGAGGAUUAUUGGGCCUAAAGCAUCCGUAGCCGGCUCUGUAAGUUUUCGGUUAAAUCCAUGUGCUCAACGCAUGGGCUGCCGAAAAUACUGCAUAGCUAGGGAGUGGGAGAGGUAGACGGUACUCGGUAGGAAGGGGUAAAAUCCUUUGAUCUAUCGAUGACCACCUGUGGCGAAGGCGGUCUACCAGAACACGUUCGACGGUGAGGGAUGAAAGCUGGGGGAGCAAACCGGAUUAGAUACCCGGGUAGUCCCAGCUGUAAACGAUGCAGACUCGAUGAUGCAUUGGCAUAUAGCCAGUGCAGUGUCGCAGGGAAGCCGUUAAGUCUGCCGCCUGGGAAGUACGUACGCAAGUAUGAAACUUAAAGGAAUUGGCGGGGGAGCACCACAAGGGGUGAAGCCUGCGGUUC
Molecule: ribosomal RNA, 876 nt
Filed under: uncultured archaeon
Lineage: Archaea
Description: bacterial SSU rRNA
Rfam family: Archaeal small subunit ribosomal RNA
Source: RNAcentral